GAUGAACGCUGGCGGCGUGCCUAAUACAUGCAAGUCGAGCGAACAGAUGAGGAGCUUGCUCCUCUGACGUUAGCGGAGGACGGGUGAGUAACACGUGUAUAACCUCCCUAUAAGACUGGUAUAACUUCGGGAAACCGGAGCUAAUACCGUAUAAUAUAUUGAACCGCAUGGUUCAUUAGUGAAAUACGGUGUUGCUGUCACUUAUAGAUGGAUCCGCGCCGCAUUAGCUAGUUGGUAAGGUAACGGCUUACCAAGGCAACCAUGCGUAGCCGACCUGAUAGGGUGAUCGGCCACACUGGAGCUGAGACACGGUCCAGACUCCUACGGGAGGCAGCAGUAUGGAAUCUUACGCAGUGGUCGAAAGCCUGACGGAGCAACGCCGAGCGAGUGACGAAGGUCUUCGGAUCGUAAAACUCUGUUUUUAGGGAAGAACAACUGUGUAAGUAACUAUGCACGUCUUGACGGUACCUAAUCAGAAAGCCACGGCUAACUACGUG
RNAcentral lists this ribosomal RNA (497 nucleotides) under uncultured bacterium. RNAcentral's name for it is "partial 16S ribosomal RNA". It matches the Rfam family "Bacterial small subunit ribosomal RNA", at positions 28 to 507 of the family's 1533-position model. The record is from RNAcentral.